CUUCCCUGAACGUGCCCAAUCUCAUCUGAUCUUGGAAGCUUAAGUAGGGUUGGGCCUGGUUAGUACUUGGAUGGGAGACUGAUCUGUAUUUCUAAGA
This is a ribosomal RNA of Cricetulus griseus (Chinese hamster), 97 nucleotides long. The record is from Ensembl. NCBI's taxonomy places the organism in Eukaryota, Metazoa, Chordata, Mammalia, Rodentia, Cricetidae.